This 125-nucleotide small RNA is filed under the name bovine gut metagenome. RNAcentral describes it as "HNH endonuclease-associated RNA and ORF (HEARO) RNA". It matches the Rfam family "HNH endonuclease-associated RNA and ORF (HEARO) RNA", at positions 1 to 127 of the family's 211-position model. The record is from RNAcentral.
GUCAACUACCCCCGCCUAAAGAGGUGGAGACUUGCAAAAGCUCAAGUUGACUAGCCUAAGUUCCAUGAGAACUCCGUUGCAUAUGUUAUCUCACCCUUGGAUGAUGCUCUAGUCCGAGGCUCUGA